This 253-nucleotide ribosomal RNA is filed under the name uncultured bacterium. RNAcentral's name for it is "partial 16S ribosomal RNA". It matches the Rfam family "Bacterial small subunit ribosomal RNA", at positions 524 to 776 of the family's 1533-position model. The record is from RNAcentral.
UACGUAGGGUGCGAGCGUUAAUCGGAAUUACUGGGCGUAAAGCGUGCGUAGGUGGUUCGUUGUGUCUGUGGUGAAAGCCCCGGGCUUAACCUGGGAAUGGCCAUGGAAACUGGCGAGCUGGAGCCUGGCAGAGGGGGGUGGAAUUCCGCGUGUAGCAGUGAAAUGCGUAGAGAUGCGGAGGAACACCGAUGGCGAAGGCAGCCCCCUGGGCUAAGACUGACGCUGAGGCACGAAAGCGUGGGGAGCAAACAGG